Molecule: ribosomal RNA, 253 nt
Filed under: uncultured bacterium
Lineage: Bacteria
Description: partial 16S ribosomal RNA
Rfam family: Bacterial small subunit ribosomal RNA
Source: RNAcentral
UACGUAGGUGGCAAGCGUUGUCCGGAAUUAUUGGGCGUAAAGAGCGUGUAGGCGGUCCGGUAAGUCAGCUGUGAAAGUCAAGGGCUCAACCCUUGAAUGCCGGUUGAUACUGUCGGGCUAGAGUCCGGAAGAGGCGAGUGGAAUUCCCGGUGUAGCGGUGAAAUGCGCAGAUAUCGGGAGGAACACCAAUGGCGAAGGCAGCUCGCUGGGACGGUACUGACGCUGAGACGCGAAAGCGUGGGGAGCAAACAGG